AUAGUAUGAUGGCGGUUG
RNAcentral lists this small nuclear RNA (18 nucleotides) under Arabidopsis thaliana (thale cress). RNAcentral's name for it is "snRNA_12557". The record is from RNAcentral. Lineage: Eukaryota; Viridiplantae; Streptophyta; Magnoliopsida; Brassicales; Brassicaceae.